This 2004-nucleotide ribosomal RNA is filed under the name Leptochelia sp. WW-2002. Its description in RNAcentral is "SSU rRNA". It matches the Rfam family "Eukaryotic small subunit ribosomal RNA". Lineage: Eukaryota; Metazoa; Arthropoda; Malacostraca; Tanaidacea; Leptocheliidae. The record is from RNAcentral.
UACCUGGUUGAUCCUGCCAGUAGUAUAUGCUUGUCUCAAAGAUUAAGCCAUGCAUGCGUGAGUACAAGCCUUAACUAAGGCGAAACCGUGAAAGGCUCAUUAAAUCAGUCAUAAUUCUUUGGGCCCAGAACCAUAAUUUAUAAUGGUUAUUUGGAUAACUGUGGUAAUUCUAGAGCUAAUACAUGCCUCGAGUUCCGAUUCGUGUUAGAUUGGUUUCCUUUCGUCGCGAAGAGGACGCAAUUAUUAGAUUUAAACCCUUUCUCUUUGAAGGAGGGUUUUGAUGAAUCUGGAUAAUACAUAGUACCAAGCCGAGCGCUAAGACCUUUUGUGUCGGCGCCGUACCAUUCAAGAGUCUGCCCUAUCAUGCUUCGAUUGUAGGUUAAAUGCCUACAAUGGCUUUGACGGGUAACGGGGAAUCAGGGUUCGAUUCCGGAGAGGGAGCCUGAGAAACGGCUACCACAUCUAAGGAAGGCAGCAGGCACGCAACUUCCCCACUUGCGGAACGCAGAGGGAGUGACAAAAUCUAACGAUGCGAGUCUCUUCCGAGGCCUCGCAAUCGGAAUGACUCCUACCUUAAAUAAGUGGAGGAGGAUCUAUUGGAGGGCAAGUCUGGUGCCAGCAGCCGCGGUAAUUCCAGCUCCAAUAGCAUAUGUUAAUUUUGCUGCGGUUAAAAAGCUCGUAGUUGGACCUCAUUUUUGCUCAAAAAAAAAGAAAUUUUUUUUUUUAUAUUGAGCUUUUAUGAAAAUUGUCACCAAUUCGUCACUAAAUUCCAGUUGCCGCACUUUGUGCAGCAGCGGAUAGUUGGCGAUGGUGGCAGGAUCACUUUGAAAAAAUUAGAGUGCUUAAAGCAAGCUAUGCACUUUACGAUGCCUGUAUGGUCGUGCAUGGAAUGAUGAAAUACGACCUCUGCCCUUUAAUCGGGGUUUGAGGUAAUGAUUAAAGGAAACAGACGGGGGCGUUCGUAUUGCGACGCGAGCGGUGAAAUGCGUUGACCGUCGCAGGACGACCUACUGCGAAAGCAUUCGCCAAGAAUGUUUUCAUUAAUCAAGAACGAAAGUUAGAGGAUCGAAGGCGAUCAGAUACCGCCCUAGUUCUAACCGUAAACUAUGCAAACCGGUCAUACGUCGGAGUUAUUCCCACGACUCGACGUGCUACCCACGGGAAACCAGAGUGAUGCUCCGGGGGAAGUAUGGUUGCAAAGCUGAAACUUAAAGGAAUUGACGGAAGGGCACCACCAGGAGUGGCGUGCGGCUUAAUUUGACUCAACACGGGAAAUCUCACCAGGCCCGGACACCGAAAGGAUUGACAGAUUAAUAAGCUCUUUCUCGAUACGGUGGGUAGUGGUGCAUGGCCGUUCUUAGUUGGUGGAGCGAUCUGUCUGGUUAAUUCCGAUAACGAACGAGACUCUAGUCUACUAACUAGUCGUCGAACUAUCACCCGAGGCUUCAUUAUGGCGUUGUGACGUGACUUCAUGUUGCUGCCGUCGCUAGUUUGUGUGUGAUAAGGUUAACGCCUAGUCCGCAUUUGCUAUGUGGCGCGAGUGGCGCGUGUUGUUACCAACUUCGUCUAUAUAGCCAACAUGUCGGGUACUUCGACGCAUAAUCUUCUUAGAGAGAUAAACGACGUCUAGUCGUGUGAGAAAGAGCAAUAACAGGUCUGUGAUGCCCUUAGAUGUCCUGGGCUGCACGCGCGCUACAAUGGAUGGUGUAAUGUGUAUCUGCUCCGACAGGAGCGGGUAAUCAUAUCAAACCCAUUCUCGCUCGGGAUUGGGGCUUGCAAAUAUUUCCCAUGAACGAGGAAUUCCCAGUAAUCGCGGAUCAUUAAUCCGUGAUGAUUACGUCCCUGCCCUUUGUACACACCGCCCGUCGCUACUACCGAUUGAAUGAUUCAGUGAGGACGUUGGACUGUCGCUCUUUGUCUCUCGUAGACUAUUUUGAGCCGACGGGAAGAUGCCCAAACUUGAUCAUUUAGAGGAAGUAAAAGUCGUAACAAGGUUUCCGUAGG